RNAcentral lists this ribosomal RNA (1661 nucleotides) under human gut metagenome. RNAcentral's name for it is "bacterial LSU rRNA". It matches the Rfam family "Bacterial large subunit ribosomal RNA", at positions 879 to 2524 of the family's 2925-position model. The record is from RNAcentral.
CUUUGAGCGGACACCUUUGGGGGUAGAGCACUGUUUCGGCUAGGGGUCCAUCCCGGAUUACCAACCCGAUGCAAACUACGAAUACCAAAGAGUGAUACUCAGGAGACACACGGCGGGUGCUAACGUCCGUCGUGGAGAGGGAAACAACCCAGACCGCCAGCUAAGGUCCCAAAGUCUAUAUUAAGUGGGAAACGAAGUGGGAAGGCUUAGACAGCUAGGAUGUUGGCUUAGAAGCAGCCAUCAUUUAAAGAAAGCGUAAUAGCUCACUAGUCGAGUCGGCCUGCGCGGAAGAUGUAACGGGGCUCAAAUAUAGCACCGAAGCUGCGGCAUCAGACGUAAGUCUGUUGGGUAGGGGAGCGUUCUGUAAGCGGAUGAAGGUUAAUCGAGAGGUUAGCUGGACGUAUCAGAAGUGCGAAUGCUGACAUAAGUAACGAUAAAACGGGUGAAAAACCCGUUCGCCGGAAGACCAAGGGUUCCUGUCCAACGUUAAUCGGGGCAGGGUGAGUCGGCCCCUAAGGCGAGGCUGAAAAGCGUAGUCGAUGGGAAACGGGUUAAUAUUCCCGUACUUGGAUAAACUGCGAUGUGGGGACGGAGCAGGUUAGGUUAUCGCACUGUUGGAUAUGUGCGUUUAAGUUUGUAGGUGUGAAGUUUAGGCAAAUCCGGACUUCUUUAACACUGAGAGAUGAUGACGAGGCUCUACGGAGCUGAAGUAACCGAUACCACACUUCCAGGAAAAGCCACUAAGCUUCAGGUUUAUCUAAACCGUACUGAAAACCGACACAGGUGGUCAGGUAGAGAAUACUCAGGCGCUUGAGAGAACUCGGGUGAAGGAACUAGGCAAAAUAGCACCGUAACUUCGGGAGAAGGUGCGCCGGCGUAGAUUGUAGUCCCUUGCGGGCGAAGGUUGAACCGGUCGAAGAUACCAGCUGGCUGCAACUGUUUAUUAAAAACACAGCACUCUGCAAACACGAAAGUGGACGUAUAGGGUGUGAUGCCUGCCCGGUGCUGGAAGGUUAAUUGAUGGUGUAAUCGAAAGAGAAGCUCCUGAUCGAAGCCCCAGUAAACGGCGGCCGUAACUAUAACGGUCCUAAGGUAGCGAAAUUCCUUGUCGGGUAAGUUCCGACCUGCACGAAUGGCAUAAUGAUGGCCAGGCUGUCUCCACCCGAGACUCAGUGAAAUUGAAAUCGCCGUGAAGAUGCGGUGUACCCGCGGCUAGACGGAAAGACCCCGUGAACCUUUACUAUAGCUUGACACUGAACAUUGAAUUUUGAUGUGUAGGAUAGGUGGGAGACUUAGAAGUAGUCACGCCAGUGAUUAUGGAGUCGUCCUUGAAAUACCACCCUUUAACGUUUGAUGUUCUAACGAAGAUUACGAAACGUGGUCUCGGACAGUGUCUGGUGGGUAGUUUGACUGGGGCGGUCUCCUCCCAAAGAGUAACGGAGGAGCACGAAGGUUUGCUAAUGACGGUCGGACAUCGUCAGGUUAGUGCAAUGGUAUAAGCAAGCUUAACUGCGAGACAGACAAGUCGAGCAGGUACGAAAGUAGGUCAUAGUGAUCCGGUGGUUCUGAAUGGAAGGGCCAUCGCUCAACGGAUAAAAGGUACUCCGGGGAUAACAGGCUGAUACCGCCCAAGAGUUCAUAUCGACGGCGGUGUUUGGCAC